Molecule: long non-coding RNA, 587 nt
Filed under: Cricetulus griseus (Chinese hamster)
Lineage: Eukaryota; Metazoa; Chordata; Mammalia; Rodentia; Cricetidae
Description: lncRNA (ENSCGRG00015041314.1)
Source: RNAcentral
CCAGAGAGGAAAGCCACCCUCCACCCCUUUAAAUCUAACCAGCAAGGCAGAUGAUUGUCACGAAAACACAGCUACCUUACUGCAACAGGAAAGCUCCCCAUGGCUCUACGUGUUUAAGCGAUGCCCUCAACAUGCACGGGCAGCCCAUCAGUGAUCCACAUGGUGGAAGGAGGAAACUGACUUGCUGAAAGUGUCCCCUCACGUCUAUAUGUGACCUGUGGCACUCAAAUGCCCACCCCCACCCACCCCACAUGAACAUACUUGAAAGCUUGGAAGGCUUGGACUGAGUGGAAGGGACACCCGUUUUAAGGCUUCAUGGCACUCGAGUGGCUGCUUCAAGAAGAUGGUUUGAAUGGAGCCUUCGGGAAAUCGUAAUGACUGACACCAGCCUAAACGAGCUGAAGAACCACAAGAAACAGCCUCUCUCUAGGAGAGUACUGAAUGACAUCAGUGUGUGUGUGUGUGUGUGUUUACACAUAGUCUUCACUGCUUUGAAAGUUUUUCUCUGUGCCGGGGUGGGGUGGGAUAGGGAAGAUGGGGGGCCUGGGGGUAAGAGUUGGGGGGGGGGGAAUCCCUAGUGCUCUCUG